RNAcentral lists this ribosomal RNA (497 nucleotides) under uncultured bacterium. Its description in RNAcentral is "partial 16S ribosomal RNA". It matches the Rfam family "Bacterial small subunit ribosomal RNA", at positions 28 to 507 of the family's 1533-position model. The record is from RNAcentral.
GAUGAACGCUGGCGGCGUGCCUAAUACAUGCAAGUCGAGCGAACGGACGAGAAGCUUGCUUCUCUGAUGUUAGCGGCGGACGGGUGAGUAACACGUGGAUAACCUACCUAUAAGACUGGGAUAACUUCGGGAAACCGGAGCUAAUACCGGAUAAUAUUUUGAACCGCAUGGUUCAAAAGUGAAAGACGGUCUUGCUGUCACUUAUAGAUGGAUCCGCGCUGCAUUAGCUAGUUGGUAAGGUAACGGCUUACCAAGGCAACGAUGCAUAGCCGACCUGAGAGGGUGAUCGGCCACACUGGAACUGAGACACGGUCCAGACUCCUACGGGGGGCAGCAGUAGGGAAUCUUCCGCAAUGGGCGAAAGCCUGACGGAGCAACGCCGCGUGAGUGAUGAAGGUCUUCGGAUCGUAAAACUCCGUUAUUAGGGAAGAACAUAUGUGUAAGUAACUGUGCACAUCUUGACGGUACCUAAUCAGAAAGCCACGGCUAACUACGUG